Molecule: microRNA precursor, 123 nt
Filed under: Gossypium hirsutum (cotton)
Lineage: Eukaryota; Viridiplantae; Streptophyta; Magnoliopsida; Malvales; Malvaceae
Description: MIR7504 microRNA precursor family
Rfam family: MIR7504 microRNA precursor family
Source: Rfam by way of RNAcentral
AAUAGGAAAAUGACAAAUCAAAUUUUUCUCAUGAUUUUCAGCUUUUUCAUCCUAAAAAAAAUUUAAAUUCAACUAAAAAUGUUAAAAAUUAAGAGUAAAAAUAUGAUUUAUCAUUUUUCUAUU